CUGACACAGGGAGGUAGUGACAAGAAAUAACAAUACAGGGCUACAUCUAGUCUUGUAAUUGGAAUGAGUACAAAUUAUACUUCUUAACGAGGAUCCAUUGGAGGGCAAGUCUGGUGCCAGCAGCCGCGGUAAUUCCAGCUCCAAUAGCGUAUAUUAAAGUUGUUGCAGUUAAAACGCUCGUAGUCGGAUUUCGGGGCGGGUCUACCGGUUUGCCGAUGGGUAUAUACUGGCGGGCGCGUCCUUCCUUCCGGAGACCGCGCCUCCUCUUAACUGAGCGGGCGUGGGAGACGGAUCGUUUACUUUGAAAAAAUCAGAGUGUUUCAAGCAGGCAUGUCGCUCUUGCAUGGAUUAGCAUGGGAUAAUGAAAUAGGACUUUGGUGCUAUUUUGUUGGUUUCGAGCACCGAAGUAAUGAUUAACAGGGACAGUCAGGGGCACUCGUAUUCCGCAGAGAGAGGUGAAAUUCUUAGACCCGCGGAAGACGAACCACUGCGAAAGCAUUUGCCA
RNAcentral lists this ribosomal RNA (505 nucleotides) under Haptophyta environmental samples. Its description in RNAcentral is "SSU rRNA". It matches the Rfam family "Eukaryotic small subunit ribosomal RNA", at positions 451 to 960 of the family's 1831-position model. The record is from RNAcentral. Lineage: Eukaryota; Haptophyta.